Molecule: long non-coding RNA, 979 nt
Filed under: Monodelphis domestica (gray short-tailed opossum)
Lineage: Eukaryota; Metazoa; Chordata; Mammalia; Didelphimorphia; Didelphidae
Description: lncRNA (ENSMODG00000031650.2)
Source: RNAcentral
GUCAGAGACAAUACAAGCUUCCCAUGCCAGGAAAGAGGGCUAUCUUGGCUAGGCACUGGGAACACUGGUGCCAGCUAUAGCUCUUAGACUGUCAGAUGGUCACUUGGAGCCUGGAGUUGCAGAGACAAAAAGGAUCAGCUAUGUGACCAUAGGCAGUCAACAAGCCCUUUAAUUAAGAGAUGGAGGAGAAAGGGAAGGCAUUCAAGGCAUGAGAAACAGCUGAUGCAAAGGCUGCUGUCCAUGGUAAGAGAAGUGAGCAUCCCGCUGUCCUCUGACCUGAGAAUACAUCUGGACUAUUUUGUUCCCUCCUGGGCACCACAUUCUCAUAAGGACAUGGGCAAUGUUGAACCUGUCCAGAAGAUUGCCACCAGAAUGCCCAGGGGAGUAGAAACCACCCCUUGUGAAGAUCAGUGGAAGGAAUCAUAUUCUCCAGGGUUGUGAACUCCCACCUCAGAGCAGAGAAUCAAAGGAUCCUGGAAGUGGGGAGACACAGGGAACCAGUCUCCUCUAUGACUUCUCUACCUGUACUUGAAUAAGAGAGUGAGGAAGAAUGAGGGAAGUCUAGCUUUUGAAUGAAGACUGAGAGACAGACUUGGGUUUAUCACCUGGACUGGACUUCAGUCCUCUCUUUGUACCUUCCUACUUAGGUGACAUUGGGCAAGUCAUUUCUCUCUUUGGGGUCUUAAUUUUCUUAUCCAGUAAAACUAGAAGGCUGGACUAGAUGCGUCUUUCCAGCACUCAGUCUUUGAUCUAAAAUGGCAUUGCAGUCAUGGCAGAAAUUGGAGAAAAUGCCUCUGGAGUGGACAAAGAGCUGCUCAGUUUGAAUGGCAGAUGAGCACUUGAACAACAUGAGACAAUUGAGAAAUAGGACUUCCUGGGAUAUUCCGCACUAAAAUCUCACUGGUCUCUAUCAGCAAAGUCUGGAAAUAGUUAAAUCCUGGAUGCUGGAUUAUGGCAACAGCAGGAGGGGGAGGCACCU